Molecule: non-coding RNA, 227 nt
Filed under: Clostridium bornimense
Lineage: Bacteria; Bacillati; Bacillota; Clostridia; Eubacteriales; Clostridiaceae
Description: T-box sequence
Rfam family: T-box leader
About the family: Uncharged tRNA acts as the effector for transcription antitermination of genes in the T-box leader family. T-boxes are found upstream of many aminoacyl-tRNA synthetase genes and some amino acid biosynthetic genes usually in Gram-positive bacteria.
Source: RNAcentral
UAAAAAACUAUGAUAAGGAAGAGUAAGUAAAAAACUGUUUAUAAGAGAUGAAAGUCCAAUUAGGCUGCAAGACUUUCUUAAAUAAGAUUUGCUGAAAACCACCUUUGAGUUGCAUGGGAAAUAACCAUUGCCGUUGGCUGCGUUAAGGCUUUCGAGUGAAUAGUAUUAAAAGUAUUAUAUUUUAGUACUAUUAAUUUGGGUGGAAUCGCGAUAUCCUCGUCCCAUAU